Molecule: long non-coding RNA, 144 nt
Organism: Xiphophorus hellerii (green swordtail)
Lineage: Eukaryota; Metazoa; Chordata; Actinopteri; Cyprinodontiformes; Poeciliidae
Exons: 3
Source: RefSeq, a predicted model, not a curated record
AAGCGAUUAAAGACAGAUAAAAAAGAAAAGGCGUUUGAUAAAAGACGGCGGGAGCAGCUGCUCUAUUUGCUGCUCUAUGACUUGGAGGUGAGUUAUGUUUGUUUGUAGUUAACAUUUUUAACUGAAUAAACAUAACUACAUAUA